GCGUCGGUGGCGGAGUGGUCAAUCGCACUUGACUGUAAAUCAAGCACCUACUGGUUACGCAGGUUCGAAUCCUGCCCGGCGCACAA
This 86-nucleotide transfer RNA is filed under the name Candidatus Campbellbacteria bacterium CG22_combo_CG10-13_8_21_14_all_36_13. RNAcentral's name for it is "tRNA-Tyr". It matches the Rfam family "tRNA". Rfam says of the family: Transfer RNA (tRNA) molecules are approximately 80 nucleotides in length. Their secondary structure includes four short double-helical elements and three loops (D, anti-codon, and T loops). Further hydrogen bonds mediate the characteristic L-shaped molecular structure. tRNAs have two regions of fundamental functional importance: the anti-codon, which is responsible for specific mRNA codon recognition, and the 3' end, to which the tRNAs corresponding amino acid is attached (by aminoacyl-tRNA synthetases). tRNAs cope with the degeneracy of the genetic code in two manners: having more than one tRNA (with a specific anti-codon) for a particular amino acid; and 'wobble' base-pairing, i.e. permitting non-standard base-pairing at the 3rd anti-codon position. Lineage: Bacteria; Candidatus Campbelliibacteriota. The record is from RNAcentral.